UUGCCUACGGGGGGCAGCAGUAGGGAAUUUUCGUCAAUGGGCGCAAGCCUGAACGAGCAAUGCCGCGUGAACGAGGAAGGUCUUCGGAUCGUAAAGUUCUGUUAAGGGGAAAAAGAGCGGAGAGAGGAAAUGAACUCCGAUUGAUAUUACCCUUCGAGGAAGUCACGGCUAACUACGUGCCAGCAGCCGCGGUAAUACGUAGGUGGCGAGCGUUAUCCGGAAUGAUUGGGCGUAAAGGGUGCGUAGGCGGCCUGCUAAG
Molecule: ribosomal RNA, 259 nt
Filed under: uncultured bacterium
Lineage: Bacteria
Description: partial 16S ribosomal RNA
Rfam family: Bacterial small subunit ribosomal RNA
Source: RNAcentral